Molecule: long non-coding RNA, 360 nt
Organism: Puntigrus tetrazona (Sumatra barb)
Lineage: Eukaryota; Metazoa; Chordata; Actinopteri; Cypriniformes; Cyprinidae
Exons: 4
Source: RefSeq, a predicted model, not a curated record
GCUAGCAGCAUUCAAACCAAUCCUGAAAACCUUUGAUUGCUUUGCUUUGAGUAAAGUAUAACCAAAUACCUCAGAGGAAGUUUGAGAAGGAGCGCUCGACGAGAAUAUAACUUUAACAUCUUUAAUCAUUCACAAACAAGGAAAGGCAUCAUUCAGCCCACAAUCCUUUACCCCACAAUGGCUAGUCAUGGUACUAAAAGAAAGUUUAGUAAUGAACAAUCUGGUUCAAGUGCAAAGUGUCCUGAAAGCAGUUCGCAGGACCUCAGAACAGGCAAGUAUAUUCUUCCUCUCUGUAGAAUAGAACCAGUUUAAUUGUAUAUAAAAAUGUAUAAGAUAACUACAGCAAAACAGCAUAUUAAU